CUCCCCAAAAAUUAAAAAAAAAAAAUCCCUGAAAAUCACCCCAAAAACCACCCGAAACAAGCCCCAAAAAUCCCCAAAAUCUGCCCCAAAAUUACCCAAAAAAUCACCAAAAAAAUCCCCAAAAUCUGCCCCAAAAAAUCCCCCAAAUCGUCGCAAAACCGCCGCAAAGCGCGGCUGCCGUAAAGCUGCCGUAAAGCGCGGCUGCCGCACAGACACUUCCGGCACACGGCUGCUGUCAAUCACUUUAUUGCUCUCUCUGCCGCACGGCGCAUGCGCGCAGCAGCCGCCCCGCCCCUUUCACCGCCAGUCCCCAGCGGGACACGCCCCCCGUACCGCAGCCCCGCCCACUCCUGCCGCCCCGCCCCCAUCCCCAGCUGCUGCCCCGCCCACCGCGGCCACGCCCCCUCCGCUUCCCGCCAGCGCGGCCGCUCCUCCCGCGCCCCCCGCCCCCUUUACCGGCCGCAUGGCGGGCCCAGCCGCGCCUCUCCCCGCUUCAGAGCGGCUAAAUGGCGCCCUCCGCCGCUUCCCGCAACCGCGGCCCUCCCGCCGUUCCCUCCCCCGGCCCCGUUCCCGUUCCCGCGGCUCCGCCGCCUCGCGCGCUCCCCGGCCCGCCCGCCGCCAUCUUGGCUCCCUCACACCGCCCCAGCGGCGCAACCGCGCAUGCGCAGGUGCCGCAACACCGCGGCAGCGAUAUCACUCCGCGCCUCACGCGGGCACAGCUCUGCUUUAGCCGCGCGCAUGCGCAGUUUUAUACCGCGGUCCCGCCGCUUUGGGCGCGGCUUUGGCGCGGCCCGGUCCCGGUUCCGAGCCGCUCCGUGCCGCUGUCCCGGCACAACCGGCAUCCCCGUGCCCUGUCACGGCACCUCCGCCGCCACCGGGGCCGUACACGGCAGCACAGCAGCGGAAAACGGCGCCGUGCGUGUAUCCUUCCGCGGCUCUGAGGGAGCUGGGGGAGAUCCGGGCACGGCCGCAUCACCGGGAGAUCCCUCCGCAGCGCGGGUUACAUCGCGCAGCCGAUGCGUGAUAUCCCUCCGCGCUUCCGCCUUCCGCGCUCCCGGCGCCGGCGGGACUACUUUGUGUCACAAACCGCAA
RNAcentral lists this long non-coding RNA (1092 nucleotides) under Camarhynchus parvulus. Its description in RNAcentral is "lncRNA (ENSCPVG00000017231.1)". Lineage: Eukaryota; Metazoa; Chordata; Aves; Passeriformes; Thraupidae. The record is from RNAcentral.